This is a long non-coding RNA of Xiphophorus couchianus (Monterrey platyfish), 2373 nucleotides long. RefSeq lists it as uncharacterized. The record is from RefSeq and is a predicted model, not a curated record. The transcript is spliced from 2 exons. NCBI's taxonomy places the organism in Eukaryota, Metazoa, Chordata, Actinopteri, Cyprinodontiformes, Poeciliidae.
UGAAUACACUGACUAAAGUGUGAAGCGUAUUCUAGCACAUUAAACUAGUGGGGAGUUUAGUUCAGUGGUGUUUAGCUUCUUCACACGGAAACAAAUCCCAUUUAAAUAGUAAAUUUUAAAAUAACUAAAAGGGAGCUGUUAACGGGAAGAGUGUUUUUCUGGUGGCACGGGCUUAAAAAUGAUCGUUGGUGUACUAAAUGUUCAUCAGGUUUUAUAUCUGCCGCUGGCCGUAACAAAGAGCAAGUGUUAUCAACCCACCACCUAUUAACCUUGCUGCUACUGUGACUAACGGCACGUAUAAUCUUAUUAAUAAGUAGACCGGAAGUCUAUUAUGAAAAGUGUCCUUCAAUUACGUCACCACAGACCUCUGAUCAUAGAUCAGACACGUGUUCAUAUGUCUGGCUGAUCGGUAGGCUGCUGUCCUGGAGGAAUAUGUUUUCGAACACUAUAACAAUAACAUGAUAACUAUAUUAUACAAACUGGUGACAAUGUUGUGGGUUAGGUGUUUGUCAAGAUGCCUGAUUAAAAUACUUCAAAGCUAAACCAUAUGUGCAUGGGAAAAUAUCCAAAGUCCUUUGGAGUCCUGCAAGGAAUUACCAUAGUUCCAACAGCUUACCUAAAUUAUUAUCAAUAAUAAUACGUAACAAUAAAAGGUAUUAACGUAAUCAAACAUUUCGGCAGGUGCAAGUGUUUAGGACAUUCCAUAUGUGGUGGGUGUCCUGGAGAGACUGCAUGAAACACUAACUGAUAGAUAUACUUGAGAUGGAGAGCCUCUCUCCCACAUACCCGUGGGUGAGCAAGUGACAAAAUUAUGGGAGAAUUUUUCUGCCAUAAUUCAAAAGUACACAUUUUCAGUCUGAAAGCUUGUAAUACUUUUGCUUGCAUUUUAAUUUUGAAAGCAGGAUUAGGUCUUUCUUCUCAAAACUUGUAAUGUUUACGUCAAACCUUUCUCCUGGCGCUCUUGCAGAACUCUCUGCUCACUUAAACUUUAGCUGUAUCCAGGGACGGAGCUUCAGGGGGAGCUGGGGUGUGGCGGGUCCCUGGCCCGCCCGGGCCUAGAGGGGCCCGGAUGGGAGGCAGAAUAUGACUUCAGGGAUCCAAGCCUUUGCCACGUCUGAUGAGAGCUGGAGAAAGCGGGCCCUCUCCUGUUGAGUAUGAUCGAUUCAGACCCACCAAAACAUCCAGCCCAGCGAAGGAGCCGGACUGGUUGCAGGUAGCAACUCUGACAUUAUUCACAAAGUGUGAGUUAACUGUAGACUGAUUGUAAACUGGAUCAGCCCAGCCGUCUAGCUUACAUCCUCUUUUCUCUCUGUCGGUGGUACAGCAGUGAUGUCAGGGACUGAAGGCUGAGUUCUAGUCGCUUUCAACAGUUUGGGUUGAGCGUUUUUGAGUCAAGACAGCAGCAUGGCGUUUAUAGUUAAUAGGCUUCAGGCUCUGAGCUGAAAUUGAUAAAGUUUUAAAAAUGAUCCAAAUCCAUCCGCGGUUCUGAAUUGCUUUGAAUUUGUGUCGUUUCAUCAUUAGUAAGCUGAUGUUUCUGCUGUUCUCUUGGUUUGUUGUACUUCAUGUCAGAUGAGACAUCAGCGACAUAGUCGCUCUCAGUGGUGGUGAAACUUGUAAGCUCCGCUGUUGUGGGCAUGUCUAUGUUGUAAAGUUAAAUGAGCUUUAUUAUUUGGGUUUAAAGGGAUCAGUCAUUAGCCCCGCCCCCCGGGCCGACUGACUUGUUCCGCUAGUGGCCGUAUCUGAAUUCAGGGUCUGCAGCCUUCGAAGGACCUGAUCUACCUAGGACGGGUCCUUCGCAGGCCGCGGAUAAAUGAAGACCGGAAGAGAAAAGCUGUGAAUUCAAACAACUCUAGUCUUCAGCCAGCUAGAGAGCUGGACAAGAUGGCGGGUUGUGCAGCCAUGUUUUCUAGAGCUCACAGUGCAAGUCCUAAAUUCUACUCUUCUUUUAAGUUAACUCUGCACCAAAAUUACUGAAAUUGCUUCCCAUAACAAUAAUAAGUCACUCAAGUCUAGAACUCACCUGAAAAAGAAAGAAGCAACUUCUAAGACAGACCAGGGCUACGUCAUGGACGUGUACCUCCCCUCAAAAUAAAAGAGAACGUGGGCCAAGCAAGACACCUGGAGAAAAGCGACCCAGGUCAGUUGAAGAGGAAGAAGUGGAGGAAAUAUCUCUCAGAGAUAUAAUGAACAGUAUUAUGACGCUAGGAGAAAAAGUGGGCAAUAUUGAACAACAGGUGACACACAGCAGUGUUUUGCUUGCUAACCUAGCCAAGAUGGUGGAGUUCAAUGCUAAUGAAGUUAAAGAAUGCAUGUUAAAGGUUAAAGAGCUGGAAAAGCAAAAUGGAAAAACUACAUGAGGGGAAUGCUGAUCUU